AAUACAUCAAAGGAUGCAUUUCCUAUUUCUGCAUAAGUUCUGAAACAACGUGUCAGCUUUAUAAUCAGUGCUUUCAAGACUAUAAUAAAGAUGGAAUCCUCACAUACCAAGCCUUGGGAACACAAGUGAGGGAUCGGCGUGUUGGUGCUGAUCCUGUAAGAGACCAAUCCGUAGCAUCACAACGAAUGAAACCAGGACAAAAU
This 203-nucleotide long non-coding RNA is filed under the name Equus caballus (horse). Its description in RNAcentral is "lncRNA (ENSECAG00000053610.1)". Lineage: Eukaryota; Metazoa; Chordata; Mammalia; Perissodactyla; Equidae. The record is from RNAcentral.